Molecule: long non-coding RNA, 409 nt
Filed under: Homo sapiens (human)
Lineage: Eukaryota; Metazoa; Chordata; Mammalia; Primates; Hominidae
Description: PREDICTED lncRNA (TCONS_00047424)
Source: RNAcentral
CUCUGGAUUGGGACCUGCAGCCCAGAGAAGGGAAAUGGGGGAAAUCCAAGUUCCCAGGUACAUCAUGAUACCCUUCCAGCCUCUCCUUCCUGGAAAUUGCCAUCACCAGCGGCCAUAGCACCCCCAUGGGACCUGGGGGAUGGAGUUGGAAGCCCCCUCCGGCAACACUGGCCAGAUUGGAGAGACCAGCAGGGAAGCUCCCUCCUACCCCCAGGGAGGCUGAAGCCAGCUCUCCAUGGGCACGAAACCUGGAACCCAGGACCCUGGGGGGCAGGUGAGAUGACAGGGACUUGGGGUCUGGGAGCAGAGUCACAGGGAAGAGUGGCAUCUAGGGGAGGCGCAUCUUGGGGGUGCAUCUAGGGGAGGUGCUAAGAAGUGACAGGGGUCUCUGGAGGUGCCCCAGUCCCUC